GGGUCCGUAGCUCAGUCGGUCAGAGCAGGUCACUCAUAAUGACUUGGUCCCUGGUUCGAAUCCAGGCGGACCCA
This 74-nucleotide transfer RNA is filed under the name Omnitrophica bacterium RIFCSPHIGHO2_02_FULL_63_14. RNAcentral describes it as "tRNA-Met". It matches the Rfam family "tRNA". Rfam says of the family: Transfer RNA (tRNA) molecules are approximately 80 nucleotides in length. Their secondary structure includes four short double-helical elements and three loops (D, anti-codon, and T loops). The record is from RNAcentral. Lineage: Bacteria; Pseudomonadati; Candidatus Omnitrophota.